CUCCAGCUGAUAAGUCCCAAAUAGGACGAAACGCGCGUCAAAAUGGAU
Schistosoma rodhaini is the source of this 48-nucleotide non-coding RNA. Lineage: Eukaryota; Metazoa; Platyhelminthes; Trematoda; Strigeidida; Schistosomatidae. The record is from Rfam.